GCAUCUUUUUAUUUUUAAAAGACCUAGCAAUAGGUAUGCUUAGGGAAGAGCUUGCGUCACAUUAGUUAGUUGGUGGGGUAAUGGCCUACCAAGACGAUGAUGUGUAGCCGGGCUGAGAGGUCGAACGGCCACAUUGGGACUGAGACACGGCCCAAACUCCUACGGGAGGCAGCAGUAAGGAAUUUUCGGCAAUGGAGGAAACUCUGACCGAGCAAUGCCGCGUGAACGAUGAAGUAUUUCGGUACGUAAAGUUCUUUUAUUAGGGAAGAAAAGAUGGUGGAAAAACCAUUAUGACGGUACCUAAUGAAUAAGCCCCGGCUAACUAUGUGCCAGCAGCCGCGGUAAUACAUAGGGGGCAAGCGUUAUCCGGAAUUAUUGGGCGUAAAGGGUGCGUAGGCGGUUAAAUAAGUUUAUGGUCUAAGUGCAACGCUCAACGUUGUGAUGCUAUAAAAACUGUUUAGCUAGAGUUGGAUAGAGGCAAGUGGAAUUCCGUGUGUAGUGGUAAAAUGCGUAAAUAUACGGAGGAACACCAGAAGCGAAGGCGGCUUGCUGGGUCGUAACYGACGMUGAGGCACGAAAGCGUGGGGAGCAAACAGGAUUAGAUACCCUGGUAGUCCACGCCCUAAACGAUGAGUACUAAACGUUGGAUAGAACCAGUGUUGAAGUUAACACAUUAAGUACUCCGCCUGAGUAGUACGUACGCAAGUAUGAAACUUAAAGGAAUUGACGGGACUCCGCACAAGCGGUGGAUCAUGUUGUUUAAUUCGAAGGUACCCGAAAAACCUCACCAGGUCUUGACAUGCUUUUGCAAAGCUGUAGAAAUACAGUGGAGGUUAUCAGAAGCACAGGUGGUGCAUGGUUGUCGUCAGCUCGUGUCGUGAGAUGUUGGGUUAAGUCCCGCAACGAGCGCAACCCUUGUUGUUAAUUGCCAUCAUUAAGUUGGGGACUUUAGCAAGACUGCCAAUGAUAAAUUGGAGGAAGGUGGGGACGACGUCAAAUCAUCAUGCCCCUUAUGACCUGGGCUACAAACGUGAUACAAUGGCUGUUACAAAGGGUAGCUAAAGCGUAAGCUUCUGGCGAAUCUCAAAAAAGCAGUCUCAGUUCGGAUUGAAGUCUGCAACUCGACUUCAUGAAGUUGGAAUCGCUAGUAAUCGCGAAUCAGCA
Molecule: ribosomal RNA, 1164 nt
Filed under: 'Rosa chinensis' phytoplasma
Lineage: Bacteria; Bacillati; Mycoplasmatota; Mollicutes; Acholeplasmatales; Acholeplasmataceae
Description: bacterial SSU rRNA
Rfam family: Bacterial small subunit ribosomal RNA
Source: RNAcentral